CACUAGGGCUAAAACUAAAAUCACAUGCAUUCUAGAUUCUUAAUCCAGACAGAACCAUGCUAUUCUUUGUGUUUAACAGAGCAUAUGGUUGACAUUUAAUAAAUGUUAGAUAGUAAAAAUAGAAGCAGUGCUUCAAAGUAACAGUAUCUGAAAGAUCUCCUUAAGCACAAAGUAAGGUAAACAAGCUGCCAUCACACAUCUGGAUUCGAGCCCAUCAGCACCUUCCCUCAGCUGUUACAAAAGACAAAGACCAGUUGGUAUCCCACUGGACAUGCUGGACAGCAUUUUCCACCCAACGCCAGGGUGAGAGAAAGAAAAGGCAGGCUCUUUUGUUCAGGCCCUCUUCCCUAAUUAUACCUUGGAUCUAAAUAAAGAAAAUACAGCACACAUGAUCAGAAAUAACUGAGGAGUAAAUGAGAAGCAACAGAGUGGAGGGUUUAAUCACAUUAUCAGUAGCAGGGUCAGAAGGAAAUGGACAGAUGGGAGCGUCAAAUUAUCUACAAUGGCAUGAAACGCUGAAAGAGAUUCAAAACCAGAGGAGAUGAGUCAAGAAAUUAAGCUUGGUUUCCAUGUUAAUUCAAAACUGUUUGUUUGGGGGGCUGAAGGAAGGAAGAAGCAAUGAUAACUCCAGCAGGGAAACUGCUCAUUAAUAUCCUAGCAAAACAAUAACCUCAGAUAAUAGGAAAUAUUAUGAUGUCUCCAGAGAACAGAGAGAAAUUCAGAUUUACUCUCCCAUCCAUGGAAUUCAGUUUAAUGGAGUAUAUUCAACAGAGCUGAAUAAAUAUCAAUAGGAAGGUUAAAACAUUGAUUAGCAGCAAUACGUCACACUCCUGACAUCUGGAAACAAACAAACCAGUUAAAAAAGCAGGUGGUGAGAUUUAGGUUGUUCUAUUCCUCUGCAAGUAACACUGGGGAUUUGCUGUUCCAGUGGCCCAGAGAGGGGUGGGGAGGAUGAGGGUAGGGAUGAGGAGUAGGAAGCAGAGGGAAUCAGAGGUGAGAAGAAUGUUCUUUUGGUGCAAAGCGAUUGAAAGCUGCUACUAUUGGGUUUAUUAUAGUGUUUUAUGAAGCAAUGCAAGAGAUUACCCAAACAUCUUCAGCUAACACCAGGACUGCAGUAGACACGUAAUACAACUAAUGCCUUGUAAAAGGUUACCAAAUCUUCCAGAUGAUGGAACCUGCAUAAACUCUCUCCUGUCUAGGAUUUUGAUGCCACAGCACUUCAUAGUACUUGUCUGACCUUGGCCAAAACAGAAAUAAGAAGGCUGGGGUUAGAUAAAGAAUCUAGGAAACAGGAGUUCCUAUCGUGGCUCAGCAAUUAACGAAUGUGUCUAGGAUCCAUGAGGAUAUGGGUUCAAUCCCUGGCCUUGCUCAUUGGGUUAAGGAUCCGGUGUUGCCAAGAGCUGUGGUAUAGGUCACAGACUCAGCUCAGAUCUGGCGUUGCUGUGGCUCUGGUGUAGGCUGGCAGCUACAGCUCCAAUUUGACUCCUAGGCCUAGGAACCUCCAUAUGCCACGGUGUGGCCCUAAAAAAAAAAAAAAAAAAAAAAAAAAAAAAAAUCUAGGAAACAACUCCACACUUUCACACUUUACCAACUAUCUUCCUGUAUAUCUUUCUGUAUCUUUUAUAUGCCAAAAAAUGUAGGGAUAUUAGGAAGGUUUGGGUCAGCUGCCUUAUGCUAAGACAGCUCUCAACUCUCUUAGUGCUAUUGGAUCUUUGGGGGAGAAUUAAAUACAAGCUCUUCUGAAAUCUUGCUAGUCACCCGUGCAGCAGUUGAGAUCCAAAAGCACCUCAGAUCUCUGGCCGCAUUGUGCCUCAGGAAGGGAAAAACAAAACUUCCAGCAAAUCAACCUCAUCGACAGUAAAAGCAUCAGCAGGUCCUAGCAAGAUCUUAAAUUACAAAACCACCAACAAACCCUUCAUUUUCACAGCUUACUCCCACGUCAUUGUCCUGUGUUCUUGAACUUUGGGGGCUACUGGACAACCCAAUCAUCAAGUGCAGUAAUUGAGCUCUUCCUAAGUAUUCUGAGCUGUAGUAAAGAGCAGGGGAAAAAUAACAACAACCAAAAAAACUGUUAUCAGUUGAGUGCUGACUCUGCAGAGGGCACCAAACAUUUUACAUGCAUUGUUUCAUUUUCAUUAUUUGCGAUCCUGUGAGUUAGGUAAUGUUAUUUUCCCCAUUUUGCAGAUGAUGAAAUUGAGCCUUAGUGACGUUAACUAACUUGCCCAAUGUCACACAGGUUAGUAAGUGGCAGAGCCAGGACUUCCGGUGUCCAAAGUCCAUGUUCCUUAUCCCCUAUGCCACAUCUACCUGUUAGAAGUCCGAAAAUAUGGAAUGAGUUACUGUGUGAAAGAGUAAGCUCUGUCACAGGAGAUGUCUGAACAUCUCCAGCAUGAUUCCCGGGCCAGGGAUCUAACCAGCACCAAAGCAGGGACAAUGUCAGAUCCUGAACCCGAUGAGCCACCAGGGAAGUCCUCUUCCAUUUUUUAAAAAAGAUCUAAUUCACAUGCCACAAAACACGCCCUUUUAAAGGGUGCAAUUCAAUGGUUUUUAGUGUAUUUGCAAGGCUGUGUAACUAUCACCAUUUCAUUCCAGAACAUUUUUAUCACCACAAUUAGUUUCAGAAUAUUUUAAUCACUCCAUACCCUAAGCAUUGUUCUCUCUCUUCAGCUUUGGCAACCAGUAAUCUGCUUUCAGUCUCUAUGGAUUUACCUAUUCUAGGCCCUUCAUAAAAAUGAAUCAUGCGAUAUGAGGUUCUUUGUAACCGGUUUCUUCACUCAGCAUCAUGUUUUCAAGGUCCAUCGUGCUGUGGCUUGUAUCAGUACUUCAUUUCAUUUGAUGGCUAAAGAACAUUCCAUUGGACGAUACCCACAUUUUGUUUACCCAUUCAUCAGGAGAUGGGCUCUCAAGUACUUAUGAACACAUGGCUCCUGUCUUUAAUCCAGCUGGGACAAUUCACAUUGUAUGACUCAAUUCAGCUGUUUGCAGCUUCUUAUGGACAUCCUCAAGUUGAUAAUACUGCUGCCUAGAACUCAACCACACGGCCAAGCAAAACUGAUUUUUC
RNAcentral lists this long non-coding RNA (3061 nucleotides) under Sus scrofa (pig). RNAcentral describes it as "lncRNA (ENSSSCG00025014763.1)". The record is from RNAcentral. Lineage: Eukaryota; Metazoa; Chordata; Mammalia; Artiodactyla; Suidae.